GCUUAAUCAAGUGCACUUUUUAAUGCAGGCUAAUUAAGUUCCUGCCAGGGGCUUUUGAAGGUGCAACCUCAGUGGUCCGGUAGAAAUGUGUUGUGCAAAAAGGUUGCACACACAUUGAGAUCGUGUCCAAAAAUUCCAUACUGUGACAAAUUAAAUGAAGUUGUCUGUUGACGUACACUAGACAAGAGAUUGUCCAACAGUAAACUAACUUCUUGUUGAAAAUUCAAUGCAUAUACAAUUUCAUUCAUGUUCAUGAGUCUGGCCAAACAGUCAACUACAACAGGCAAAUAUGUCAAGUUGUCCAAAAGUCCUGGGUGACAUCUUAUGCUAGCUAAACUGUCAUGUUAGUGCCUACCAGCUUCCGCUUUGGAACUUAAUGGAUCCAUUAAAGGGCCUAAUUCUCAUACUACGCAGUUCGAUUGAUUGGUUAAGAAAAAUGUGCAUGUUUAAAGACAGUCUAUACAGAAUUUAUUUGUUAAUUGAGCGGUUAAACCGUUCCAGGCAUUGUAGAUACCAAAUACACAGGAGCCUGUGGUACAAUAAAUGGACUAGGAGGAAUGGGCUACAGCUGAAGAGUAUUGAGGCAGUCAAAGUAAAAGGCCCAUCAAAAUCCAGUUGAAGCUAGAACAUUUUGAAUGGGCUGCGUCUCAAGACACUGCAGCCGCCCGUUGCAUCUGCGGUGGACAGGGGCCGAGCUACAGUGGUGUUGGUCUGACACCCAAAAAAUGCAGUCUCAAAAACAUCUAUAGCUUCAGAACGGUUUGGCCUACAAACUGACCAUUAUGGGAAAUUGACUCCCGAACAUAGUUACGUUUCCCUCUAUGACCCCACAAUUGUAAGACAGGUAACCCAUACAAACAGAAGUAUGGAGGUAGAAGCAUCAACAAUAACAUUUGAUUCAGCUAGAUAUGGAACAGACACUCCUAAACUGAUUUGACUCUUUGCCAUUUGUGGUAUGGGCUAUAGUAUAAGGCCAAAUGCAAGUUUGAAACCAAAUGGUCACUCAAUUCUAGUAGCUAAAUGAGCCAUGGUCUGACCAUCUAAAAACCAUUCCCUAUAUGUUAGCUUACUGAGGUUGAAGACAGUCUCACUGUAUACAAUGCAUGCCUACAUCUAAAGUAUGAACAUAUGAAGAAGGUCUGACAACUCACCCCUUGACAAAUGUAGACCCAAGCUUUUAUUUUGAACAACCAGUAGCAAAGGUAAAAGACUAGAAAACCAAAGAAUUAACUGAGCAGUCAUUUUUACUACAGACUGCACACCACCUGUUCUCAAUUAGCAAGCAAUGGACACAAGAACCACUAUUUCACAGAGACAGGGCAUUUUUUUAAAGAAGAACUGUUCAUGUACUCCCUCACGCUAGAGUAGCAAGAGCACCAGACACUUCCUGGUCGAAACAAAAGCAGAAAGAAAUGCAGUGUCAGCAACACAGAAUGUUAAGUAACCAAUGUCAAAAACAAUUCUCACCAUUAGCUUCUAGAGGAUGAAUCCAUUACAUUUUCUUGUUGAAAGAUAUGGUUAGUACAAAGGACUUCAAAUUCAGAGAGCAAAGUUCAGAGCAGGUUAAAGUGAACCAUUACCUUGCAGAAUCUUUCACUAGUGAUGGAUAUACGCUUGGUGCACCAGUACGAACAAAACUGUCCUUGGGAGCAUUUCCAAUGUGAACAAGCAUAGCCUCCCUAGGAGUGUAGCGGGUUAGGGAGAAUACAGUCCUGCCAUUCUCGUAGUGCGAUUUGGAACUGUAGGAAUAGAUUGGGAUGACACCUGUCUGUUCACCAUCUUCAGUGGUUUCGUAGUGAUUCUGCUGAGACAUUGGGGCCAGUUGCUUCUGGGGCAUUUGAGCUACAUGCCAUAAUUGCUGAGGCAUGGGGGUCAGUUGGUGCUGUGGCAUGGCAGUGUGUUGCUUCCGCUGCUGGGACAUUUGAGCUGGAUACCCCACUUGCUGGGGUAUGGUGGCCGGUUCGUUCUGCUGCGGUUCAGCAGCCGGUUGCUUCUGCGGUAUUUGAGCUGGUUGCCACUCUUGCUGAGGCACGUCGGUCAGUCGCUUCUGCGGUAGAGGCAUGGAGGUCAGUUGCUGCCGUGACAUUUGAGCUGGAUACCACACUUGCUGGGGUACGGCGGUCGGUUGCUCCUGCGGUAGAGGCGUGGAGGCCGGUUGCUUCUGCUGCUGGGGAAAUUCAGCUGGAUGCCAUACUUGCUGAUGCGUAUGCGGCAUGGCGGUCACCGCAGCGACUUGCUUCUGGACCAUUUUAGCUGGAUACCACACGUCGUGAGGCUGUUGGGGCAUAGGGGCCGGUUGCUUCUGUGCCCGAUGCCACACUUGCUGAAUCAUGGCAGCCGGCUGCUUAUGCUGCUGGGGCAUUUGAGCGGAUUGCCACAGUUGUGGUGGAUUGGCGGUCAGUUCCUUCUGCGGUAGAUGCAUAGUGAAUGGUUGCUUCUGCUCCUGGAGAAAUUGAUCUGGAUGCCACAAUUGCUGAGGUGGCUGGGGCAUGGCGGUCGGUUCAAUUUGCUGCUGAGGUUCAGCGGCCGGUUGCUUCCGCUGCUGAGGUUCAGCGGCCGGUUCCUUCUGCAGCUGGGGCUUUUGAGCUGGAUACCAUGCUUGCUGGGGCAUGGUGGCCGGUUCCUUCUGCUGCUGGGGUUCAGCAGCCGGUUCCUUCUGCUGCUGAGGUUCAGCGGCCGGUUCCUUCUGCAGCUGGGGCUUUUGAGCUGGAUACCAUGCUUGCUGGGGCAUGGUGGCCGGUUCCUUCUGCUGCUGGGGUUCAGUGGUUGGUUGGUUCUGGGGCAUUUUAGCUGGAUACCACACUUGCUGAGGUUGCUGGUGUAUGGCGGUCAGUUCCUUCUGCGGUGAAAGCAUUAGGGCUGGUUGCUUCUGCUGCUGGGGAAAUUGAGCUGGAUGCCACUCUUGAGGCAUGGUGGUCAGUUCCUUCUGCUGCCGAGUUGAUGCUGCUUGUUGCUUCUGGACCAUUUUAGCUGGAUACCACACGUCAUGAGGCUGCUGGGGAAUGGGGGCCAGUUGCCACACUUGCUGAAGCUUGGCAGCCGGUUGCUUAUGCUGCUGGGGAAUUUGAGCGGAUUGCCACAGUUGUGGUGGAAUGGAGGUCAGUUCCGUCUGCAGUUGACGCAUAGGGACGGGUUGCUCCUGGGGAAAUUUGGCUGGAUGCCACUGAGGUUCAGCGGUUGGUUGCUUCUGGGGCAUUUGAGCUGGAUACCAUGCUUGCUGGGGCAUGGCGGUCAGUUCAAUCUGCUCCUGAGGAUCAGCGGCCAGUUGCUUCUGGGGCUUAGCUGGAUACCACACUUGCUGGGGCAUGGCAGUCAGUUGCUUCAGCAGCAUUUGAGCUGGAUGCAACACUUGCUGAGGUUGCUGGGUUAUGGAGGCCGGUUCCUUCUGCUGCUGAGGUUCAGUAGCCGGUUGCUUUUGCUGCUGGGGCAAUUGAGCUGGAUGCCACACUUGCUGCUGCAUGGUGGCCGGUUGCUUCUGCUGCAUUUGAGCUGGAUACCAUGCUUUCUGGGGCAUAGCUGUUGGUCGUUUCUGCGGUAUAGGCAUUGGAGCCGGUUGCUUCUGGGGCAUGGUGGUCAGUUCGGUCUGCUGCUGAGGACCAGUAGCUGGUUGCUUUUGCUGCUGAGGAAUUUGAACUGGGUACCACACUUGCUGAGGUAGCUGGGGUAUGGAGGCCUGUUCCUUCUGAUGCUGAAGUUCAGUAACUGGUUGCUUCUGGGGUAUUUGAGCUGGAUAAAACAUUGCUUGAGGCUGCUUAGGAUAACUGGCCGGUAGCGUCUGCUGUUGGCUCAUGGCGGCCGGUUGCUUUUCCUGCUGGGGCAUUUGAGUUGGAUACCACAUUUUCUGAGGUGCCUGGGGCAUGGGGGCCAGUUGCUUUUGCAGGAUGGCUGCCAGAUGUUUCUGUUGCUCUUCGGUCAGCUGCGCUUGCAAUUGAGCUGUUGGAGAGUUGUAAUUACCAUAUCCUUUAGACCUAAGUGGGCCUGUAUAGAGCCAUGCUGCAUCAGAACCUGGUGCAGGAUACCCAUCACCUAGGUUAGAUAAAGAGAAAAGGUAAAAUGCCAG
This is a long non-coding RNA of Oncorhynchus tshawytscha (Chinook salmon), 4060 nucleotides long. The record is from Ensembl. NCBI's taxonomy places the organism in Eukaryota, Metazoa, Chordata, Actinopteri, Salmoniformes, Salmonidae.